AGAGUUUGAUCCUGGCUCAGGACGAACGCUGGCGGCGUGCUUAACACAUGCAAGUCGAACGGUAAGGCCCUUCGGGGUACACGAGUGGCGAACGGGUGAGUAACACGUGGGUAAUCUGCCCUGCACAUCGGGAUAAGCCUGGGAAACUGGGUCUAAUACCGAAUAGGACCACAGGACACAUGUCCUGUGGUGGAAAGCUUUUGCGGUGUGGGAUGGGCCCGCGGCCUAUCAGCUUGUUGGUGGGGUGAUGGCCUACCAAGGCGACGACGGGUAGCCGGCCUGAGAGGGUGUCCGGCCACACUGGGACUGAGAUACGGCCCAGACUCCUACGGGAGGCAGCAGUGGGGAAUAUUGCACAAUGGGCGAAAGCCUGAUGCAGCGACGCCGCGUGGGGGAUGACGGCCUUCGGGUUGUAAACCUCUUUCACCAUCGACGAAGGUCCGGGUUUUCUCGGGCUGACGGUAGGUGGAGAAGAAGCACCGGCCAACUACGUGCCAGCAGCCGCGGUAAUACGUAGGGUGCGAGCGUUGUCCGGAAUUACUAGGCGUAAAGAGCUCGUAGGUGGUUUGUCGCGUUGUUCGUGAAAUCUCACGGCUUAACUGUGAGCGUGCGGGCGAUACGGGCAGACUUGAGUACUGCAGGGGAGACUGGAAUUCCUGGUGUAGCGGUGGAAUGCGCAGAUAUCAGGAGGAACACCGGUGGCGAAGGCGGGUCUCUGGGCAGUAACUGACGCUGAGGAGCGAAAGCGUGGGGAGCGAACAGGAUUAGAUACCCUGGUAGUCC
This 783-nucleotide ribosomal RNA is filed under the name uncultured bacterium. Its description in RNAcentral is "bacterial SSU rRNA". It matches the Rfam family "Bacterial small subunit ribosomal RNA", at positions 8 to 796 of the family's 1533-position model. The record is from RNAcentral.